RNAcentral lists this ribosomal RNA (387 nucleotides) under Notarius lentiginosus (freckled sea catfish). Its description in RNAcentral is "partial 12S ribosomal RNA". It matches the Rfam family "Bacterial small subunit ribosomal RNA", at positions 791 to 1382 of the family's 1533-position model. Lineage: Eukaryota; Metazoa; Chordata; Actinopteri; Siluriformes; Ariidae. The record is from RNAcentral.
UAUGCUUAGCCUUAAACUUAGAUGUACACCCACACAUGCAUCCGCCAGGGAACUACGAGCGCAGCUUGAAACCCAAAGGACUUGGCGGUGCCUCAUACCCAUCUAGAGGAGCCUGUUCUAGAACCGAUAAUCCACGUUGAACCUCACCACUUCUUGUUUUUUUCCCGCCUAUAUACCACCGUCGCCAGCUUACCCUGUGAAGGUCUAAUAGUAAGCAAAACGGGUUCACCCAAAAACGUCAGGUCGAGGUGUAGCGUAUGAAGUGGGAAGAAAUGGGCUACAUUUUCUACAACAGAAUAAACGGACGGUACUUUGAAAUAAGCACCCGAAGGUGGAUUUAGUAGUAAAAAAUAACAGAAAAUCUUUUUGAAUCUGGCUCUGAGACGC